RNAcentral lists this ribosomal RNA (200 nucleotides) under uncultured bacterium. RNAcentral's name for it is "partial 16S ribosomal RNA". It matches the Rfam family "Bacterial small subunit ribosomal RNA", at positions 338 to 529 of the family's 1533-position model. The record is from RNAcentral.
UCUACGGGAGGCAGCAGUGGGGAAUAUUGGACAAUGGGCGCAAGCCUGAUCCAGCCAUGCCGCGUGUGUGAAGAAGGCCUUUUGGUUGUAAAGCACUUUAAGCGAGGAGGAGGCUACUUGGAUUAAUACUCUAGGAUAGUGGACGUUACUCGCAGAAUAAGCACCGGCUAACUCUGUGCCAGCAGCCGCGGUAAUACAGA